RNAcentral lists this ribosomal RNA (547 nucleotides) under uncultured bacterium. Its description in RNAcentral is "bacterial SSU rRNA". It matches the Rfam family "Bacterial small subunit ribosomal RNA", at positions 355 to 895 of the family's 1533-position model. The record is from RNAcentral.
UGGGGAAUAUUGCGCAAUGGGGGGAACCCUGACGCAGCCAUGCCGCGUGAAUGAAGAAGGCCUUCGGGUUGUAAAGUUCUUUCGGUAUUGAGGAAGGUUGAUGUGUUAAUAGCACAUCAAAUUGACGUUAAAUACAGAAGAAGCACCGGCUAACUCCGUGCCAGCAGCCGCGGUAAUACGGAGGGUGCGAGCGUUAAUCGGAAUAACUGGGCGUAAAGGGCACGCAGGCGGUUAUUUAAGUGAGGUGUGAAAGCCCUGGGCUUAACCUAGGAAUUGCAUUUCAGACUGGGUAACUAGAGUACUUUAGGGAGGGGUAGAAUUCCACGUGUAGCGGUGAAAUGCGUAGAGAUGUGGAGGAAUACCGAAGGCGAAGGCAGCCCCUUGGGAAUGUACUGACGCUCAUGUGCGAAAGCGUGGGGAGCAAACAGGAUUAGAUACCCUGGUAGUCCACGCUGUAAACGCUGUCGAUUUGGGGGUUGGGGUUUAACUCUGGCGCCCGUAGCUAACGUGAUAAAUCGACCGCCUGGGGGAGUACGGCCGCAAGGUU